This 378-nucleotide ribosomal RNA is filed under the name uncultured eukaryote. RNAcentral describes it as "partial 18S ribosomal RNA". It matches the Rfam family "Eukaryotic small subunit ribosomal RNA", at positions 592 to 975 of the family's 1831-position model. The record is from RNAcentral.
CAAUAGCGUAUAUUAAAGUUGUUGCAGUUAAAAAGCUCGUAGUUGGAUUUCGGAUGGGACUUGCCGGUCCGUCGUUUCGAUGUGCACUGGCCAGUCCUAUCUUGUUGUCGGGGACUAGCUCCUGGGCUUCACUGUCCGGGACUAGGAGCUGACGAGGUUACUUUGAGUAAAUUAGAGUGUUCAAAGCAAGCCUACGCUCUGAAUACAUUAGCAUGGAAUAACACGAUAGGACUCUGGCUUAUCUUGUUGGUCUGUGAGACCAGAGUAAUGAUUAAGAGGGACAGUCGGGGGCAUUCGUAUUUCAUUGUCAGAGGUGAAAUUCUUGGAUUUAUGAAAGACGAACUUCUGCGAAAGCAUUUGUCAAGGAUGUUUUCAUUA